AGAGUUUGAUCCUGGCUCAGAUUGAACGCUGGCGGCAGGCUUAACACAUGCAAGUCGAGCGGAGUGAUGGUGCUUGCACUAUCACUUAGCGGCGGACGGGUGAGUAAUGCUUAGGAAUCUGCCUAUUAGUGGGGGACAACAUUUCGAAAGGAAUGCUAAUACCGCAUACGUCCUACGGGAGAAAGCAGGGGAUCUUCGGACCUUGCGCUAAUAGAUGAGCCUAAGUCGGAUUAGCUAGUUGGUGGGGUAAAGGCCUACCAAGGCGACGAUCUGUAGCGGGUCUGAGAGGAUGAUCCGCCACACUGGGACUGAGACACGGCCCAGACUCCUACGGGAGGCAGCAGUGGGGAAUAUUGGACAAUGGGCGCAAGCCUGAUCCAGCCAUGCCGCGUGUGUGAAGAAGGCCUUAUGGUUGUAAAGCACUUUAAGCGAGGAGGAGGCUACUGAAGUUAAUACCUUCAGAUAGUGGACGUACUCGCAGAAUAAGCACCGCAA
This 495-nucleotide ribosomal RNA is filed under the name Acinetobacter calcoaceticus. Its description in RNAcentral is "bacterial SSU rRNA". It matches the Rfam family "Bacterial small subunit ribosomal RNA", at positions 8 to 499 of the family's 1533-position model. Lineage: Bacteria; Pseudomonadati; Pseudomonadota; Gammaproteobacteria; Moraxellales; Moraxellaceae. The record is from RNAcentral.